RNAcentral lists this ribosomal RNA (522 nucleotides) under uncultured eukaryote. RNAcentral's name for it is "bacterial SSU rRNA". It matches the Rfam family "Eukaryotic small subunit ribosomal RNA", at positions 21 to 549 of the family's 1831-position model. The record is from RNAcentral.
UAGUCAUAUGCUUGUCUGAAAGAUUAAGCCAUGCAUGUCUCAGUAUAAAUUCCUGUACAGUAAAACUGCGAAUGGCUCUGUAAAACAGUUACAAUUUUUUUGGCAGUUGGUUAGAACUUUGGAUACCUACGGCAAUUCUAGAGCUAAUACAUGCCCAUAGGCCCUACUUAUCGGAAGGGUUGUGCGUAUUAGAUUUCCACCCAACCCGGGCUUCCCGGACCCCAAUUGACUCAUGAUACGUUUGCGAAUCGCCAUUUCUGGGCGAUGCGUCAUUCGAGUUUCUGACCUAUCAGCUUCCGACGGUAGGGUCUUGGCCUACCGUGGCAUUGACGGGUAACGGAGGAUUAGGGUUCGAUUCCGGAGAGGGAGCCUGAGAAACGGCUACCACAUCUAAGGAAGGCAGCAGGCGCGCAAAUUACCCAAUCUUGAAAAAGGGAGGUAGUGACGAGAAAUACCAAUAUAAGGUUUUCAUGCCUUGUAAUUGGGAUGAGUGCAAAGUAAACCGCUCUACGAGUAUCGAUU